UCCAGUCAGCCCAUAGUUUUUAGUCUUUAAUGACAGCGACGUGACAUUUCUUUUUACUUCUGUAUUGUUGUAAGUAAAAUAUCGUAUUAAUAUCAUAAUCGCUACAUUAUGUUAAUCGACUAACCCUCGCGUCAAAACUGCUCGUCAAAACCCCCUUUUUACUACGGAGGAGACGACUCGCGCCAUGUCCCGCCGACUGGAAUUCUAGCACGAUUCCUGAGCGCGGUGAAAAGAAGAUGGACCAUUUUCUGUGUUCACCAUUCAGGCAGAAGACUCUACCAUUGCAUUCACUGCAGAAAGCUAAAUCCUCAUUUGGAUUCUUCCUCUCUAUGGAUCUCAUCGUCUUUUGACAGGAUUUAGGAUAU
This is a long non-coding RNA of Carassius auratus (goldfish), 365 nucleotides long. RefSeq lists it as uncharacterized. NCBI's taxonomy places the organism in Eukaryota, Metazoa, Chordata, Actinopteri, Cypriniformes, Cyprinidae. The record is from RefSeq and is a predicted model, not a curated record. The transcript has 3 exons.